UGUGUGUGUGUGUGUGUGUGUGUGUGUGUGUGUGUGUGUGUUGCUGGAUCCAGGACCAUACACAUGCUAGCCAAGCACUCGUCCCACUGAGCAACCAUCCUGUUACACAUUUUGAGAGGACCCAUGCUCUCAGCUGCUCUGCCACGGUGUUCUGGCCCAAGAGAGCUGCUCGCUGGUACAGCUCUCCCUGGAUGUGUGAGCCUCGUCCACAGCUGGCUACUGCUGCUAUUCCUGGCUCUUGACCGCAACCUCAAAAUUAUACCAAGUUUCCAGGUGACAAAAAUGAGGUACAGAGAGUUGAUACAAUUUCCCAAGACCUCAGAAGUCGUACAUGGGGGUUCCAGGUUCUACGCUAGCCAGCUUCAAAGCCUGAGUUCACAUUCGGCGCCCUAAGGACUCUCGAACCUGUCUUCUUCCCUGUGGUUCUGCUCGGGUGCAUGCAUGGCGUCUCGCACCCACCCAUCUCCACACCAUCUCCAUUUUCAGCCCCAGAGGAAGGAGGCCCCAGAAACAAAGAGAAAAAGAAAACCUGCUUUGAAACAAUUUUGCAUGAACCUGAAAUUAGAAACAAGGUUGGCCUGCAACUUGCUCUGUAGCCCAGCUGGCCUCAGACUCCCAAUCUUCUACUUCAGCCUCCCAAGUGGAAUGAUUACAAGCAUGCCAGUCAACGUCUGACUCUGAUGGCUAUUAAUUAUUACUGUUUGAACGUAUUUUCUUUUUGCUUAGAAAAUUAUGCAAAAUCCUUACAAGUCAUGCAUCUUAUAAAUUAAUAACAAGAAUAUAUGGGCCAGCAAGAUAGCUCAUUCAGUGGAGGUAUUUGCCACCAAGGCUGACACUUUGAGUCUGAUUCUCAGAAUCCAUGUGACGGAACGAGAGAACUGACUCCUGAGAGCUGUCUUCUGAUCUCCAUAUGUGUGUCAGGGUAUGUACAUGCCUACAUACAUACACAGUUUUUAAUUAAGUAAAAACGUAUACAUAAGGGGGCUGGGAAGAUGGCUUAGCUGGUCAAGUGCCCGUGAGCCUAUGUCCGAUGCCCAGCACACAUUAAUGCCAGGUGCAGCGACCCCUAUCUGCGACACCAGUGCUGCAGGGCUGUGGACAGGGUGAAGAUGUGCAGAUCCCAGCCCAGCCGAGUCAAUGAGACGGUGUUUAACGGAAGACGCCUGUCUCAGCAAGUAAGACGGAGAGCAGUCAAGGAAGACAUGCGCGUGUGCACGCGCACUCACACACACAAGCACACACACACACAAGCACACACACACACAGCACAAAAGAGAGAAAGAACUAGAACUCCAUAUCAAAAUAUUUAAAUAGCUCUACGAUAAAAUAUAAAAUGAAGAAGAUGGGCAAAGGUGGUGGGAAGGGAGCCGCUCAGUUGGCAGAUUGCUUGCCUGACAGGCACAGAGCACCGAGUUUCCUACCUGGCACAGCAUAAACUGGUGUAGUGGUGUAUACCUGUAAUUCCAACACUCAGAAGGUGGAGAGGCAGGAGGAACCGAAGGUCAUUUUUCCUUGGCUACAUAGAGUUUGAGACCAGCCUAGGCUACAUGAGACCCUGUCUUAAAAGAGAAUGUGGGCCAGGUGUUGGGGGCGAACGCCUUUUAUCCCAGCACUCAGGAGGCAGAGCCAAGUGGAUUUUUGUGAGUUUGAGGCCAGCUUGGUCUAC
Long non-coding RNA from Peromyscus leucopus (white-footed mouse), 1666 nucleotides. RefSeq lists it as uncharacterized. The transcript has 4 exons. NCBI's taxonomy places the organism in Eukaryota, Metazoa, Chordata, Mammalia, Rodentia, Cricetidae. The record is from RefSeq and is a predicted model, not a curated record.